UACGUAGGGUGCGAGCGUUAAUCGGAAUUACUGGGCGUAAAGCGUGCGCAGGCGGUGAUGUAAGACAGAUGUGAAAUCCCCGGGCUUAACCUGGGAAUUGCAUUUGUGACUGCACGGCUAGAGUGUGUCAGAGGGGGGUAGAAUUCCACGUGUAGCAGUGAAAUGCGUAGAGAUGUGGAGGAAUACCGAUGGCGAAGGCAGCCCCCCUGGGAUAACACUGACGCUCAUGCACGAAAGCGUGGGGAGCAAACAGG
Molecule: ribosomal RNA, 254 nt
Filed under: uncultured bacterium
Lineage: Bacteria
Description: partial 16S ribosomal RNA
Rfam family: Bacterial small subunit ribosomal RNA
Source: RNAcentral